CCCGUCCAACCCUGAGCUCCGGGAUCCGCCCCGCCGCGGAACCGAACCGCGCCGGGACCGAACCGAACCGCGUCGCACCGCGCCGGGACCGAACCGCCGCCGCCGCCGGGAGGAGCGGAGCGCGGAGCACCGCCCGGAGGUGGAGGAGCUGCAGAGCUGCCAGGAGGGACCCAGCAGCGCCGUACCCUGCCGAGACCUGAGAGCUCUUCAUGCAGACAGAAGGCCAGCAAGCGCGGCGACGCAGACCCACGUGUGCACGUGUACGUAUGUGCUGGUGUGCAAAUGUGUUUGCACUUGCGUGUGAGCGUGCGUGCAGAGAUCCGUGCAUCCGUGCGAGCGCGCAGAGCUGCGCCCGUAUCUGCACGCAGGUGUGUGUGUGCGCUCACGUGUGCAGGCGACUACACGUAUGUGUGUGGAUGUGCAAACGUGUUCGUGCACCUGCACACGCCCUGCACACGCGUGUACUGCAGAAAGCUGUGCUCGGCUCCACAGGACAACAUUUUAUGAGGAACUCCCACCCUCUCUCUGCCAGAUGCUGCACCUGGGGUAGGGGCAACAUGAGGGGCGUCCCUUGGAGCUGCU
This 582-nucleotide long non-coding RNA is filed under the name Gallus gallus (chicken). Lineage: Eukaryota; Metazoa; Chordata; Aves; Galliformes; Phasianidae. The record is from RNAcentral.